AUCUGCUCGAGGGUUAGUCCGGCCCCUAAGGCGAGGCUAGAAAAGCGUAGUCGAUGGGGAAACGGGUUAAUACUUCCCGUACCGCUGGUGUGGAUAUAGUGCGAAGGGGGACGGAGAAGGAUAGGCCAUCCGGGCGUUGGUUGUCCCGGUUCAAGCGUGUAGGUGGAGGACUUAGGCAAAUCCGGGUCCUUGUUAACACUGAGGCGUGACGACGAGGUCCUUAGGGCCACAAAGUGGUUGAUUCCAUGCUUCCAGGAAAAGCCUCGUGUACUUUCACAUUGGUGACCGUACCGUAAACCGACACAGGUGGACAGGUAGAAUAUACUAAGGCGCUUGAGAGAACUCUGGUUAAGGAACUCGGCAAAAUAGCACCGUAACUUCGGGAGAAGGUGUGCCCACAUGGUGAGAGAUUUUUCAAUCUUGAGCUUAGUUGGGUUGCAGUGAAAUGGGG
This 451-nucleotide ribosomal RNA is filed under the name uncultured bacterium. RNAcentral describes it as "bacterial LSU rRNA". It matches the Rfam family "Bacterial large subunit ribosomal RNA", at positions 1368 to 1792 of the family's 2925-position model. The record is from RNAcentral.